UAGGGAAUCUUCGGCAAUGGACGAAAGUCUGACCGAGCAACGCCGCGUGAGUGAAGAAGGUUUUCGGAUCGUAAAACUCUGUUGUUAGAGAAGAACAAGGACGUCAGUAACUGAACGUCCCCUGACGGUAUCUAACCAGAAAGCCACGGCUAACUACGUGCCAGCAGCCGCGGUAAUACGCAGGUGGCAAGCGUUGUCCGGAUUUAGUGGGCGUAAAGCGAGCGCAGGCGGUUUCUUAAGUCUGGUGUGAAAGCCCCCGGCUCAACCGGGGAGGGUCAUUGGAAGCUGGGGGACUUGAGUGCAGAAGAGGAGAGUGGAAUUCCAUGUGUAGCGGUGAAAUGCGUAGAUAUAUGGAGGAACACCAGUGGCGAGGGCGGCUCUCUGGUCUGUAACUGACGCUGAGGCUCGAAAGCGUGGGGAGCAAACAGG
Molecule: ribosomal RNA, 429 nt
Filed under: Gemmatimonadota bacterium
Lineage: Bacteria; Pseudomonadati; Gemmatimonadota
Description: Gemmatimonadetes bacterium partial 16S ribosomal RNA
Rfam family: Bacterial small subunit ribosomal RNA
Source: RNAcentral